RNAcentral lists this ribosomal RNA (311 nucleotides) under uncultured Exiguobacterium sp. RNAcentral's name for it is "bacterial SSU rRNA". It matches the Rfam family "Bacterial small subunit ribosomal RNA", at positions 1128 to 1437 of the family's 1533-position model. Lineage: Bacteria; Bacillati; Bacillota; Bacilli; Caryophanales. The record is from RNAcentral.
CAGUUGGGCACUCUAGGGAGACUGCCGGUGACAAACCGGAGGAAGGUGGGGAUGACGUCAAAUCAUCAUGCCCCUUAUGANUUGGGCUACACACGUGCUACAAUGGACGGUACAAAGGGCAGCGAGACCGCGAGGUGGAGCCAAUCCCAUAAAGCCGUUCCCAGUUCGGAUUGCAGUCUGCAACUCGCCUGCAUGAAGUCGGAAUCGCUAGUAAUCGCAGGUCAGCAUACUGCGGUGAAUACGUUCCCGGGUCUUGUACACACCGCCCGUCACACCAACGAGAGUUUGCNACACCCGAAGCCGGUGAGUAA